This 760-nucleotide ribosomal RNA is filed under the name uncultured bacterium. Its description in RNAcentral is "bacterial SSU rRNA". It matches the Rfam family "Bacterial small subunit ribosomal RNA", at positions 28 to 776 of the family's 1533-position model. The record is from RNAcentral.
GAUGAACGCUAGCGACAGGCUUAACACACGCAAGUCGAGGGGCAGCAUGAACUUAGCUUGCUAAGUUUGAUGGCGACCGGCGCACGGGUGAGUAACGCGUAUGCAACUUACCUAUCAGAGGAGAAUAGCUCAUCGAAAGAUGAAUUAAUGCUCCAUAAAACAGGGGUCCCGCAUGGGAAUAUUUGUUAAAGAUUCAUCGCUGAUAGAUAGGCAUGCGUUCCAUUAGAUAGUAGGCGGGGUAACGGCCCACCUAGUCGACGAUGGAUAGGGGUUCUGAGAGGAAGGUCCCCCACAUUGGAACUGAGACACGGUCCAAACUCCUACGGGAGGCAGCAGUGAGGAAUAUUGGUCAAUGGGCGAGAGCCUGAACCAGCCAAGUAGCGUGAAGGAUGACUGCCCUAUGGGUUGUAAACUUCUUUUAUACGGGAAUAACAUCAUCCACGUGUGGGUGUCUGCAUGUACCGUAUGAAUAAGCAUCGGCUAACUCCGUGCCAGCAGCCGCGGUAAUACGGAGGAUGCGAGCGUUAUCCGGAUUUAUUGGGUUUAAAGGGAGCGUAGACGGGUCCUUAAGUCAGUUGUGAAAGUUUGCGGCUCAACCGUAAAAUUGCAGUUGAUACUGGGGACCUUGAGUGCGGCAGAGGCAGGCGGAAUUCGUGGUGUAGCGGUGAAAUGCUUAGAUAUCACGAAGAACUCCGAUUGCGAAGGCAGCUUGCUGGACCGUAACUGACGUUGAUGCUCGAAAGUGCGAGUAUCAAACAGG